AUUGAACGCUGGCGGAAUGCUUUACACAUGCAAGUCGGGCGGCAGCAUGGACUUCGGUCUGAUGGCGAGCGGCGAACGGGUGAGUAAUGUAUAGGAACAUACCCAGUAAUGGGGGAUAACGCCGAGAAAUCGGUGCUAAUACCGCAUACGCCCUGAGGGGGAAAGCGGGGGAUCUUCGGACCUCGCGUUAUUGGAUUGGCCUAUAUCUGAUUAGCUAGUUGGUGAGGUAAAGGCUCACCAAGGCUUCGAUCAGUAGCUGGUCUGAGAGGAUGAUCAGCCACACUGGGACUGAGACACGGCCCAGACUCCUACGGGAGGCAGCAGUGGGGAAUAUUGGACAAUGGGCGAAAGCCUGAUCCAGCAAUGCCGCGUGAGUGAUGAAGGCCUUAGGGUUGUAAAGCUCUUUUACCCGAGAUGAUAAUGACAGUAUCGGGAGAAUAAGCUCCGGCUAACUCCGUGCCAGCAGCCGCGGUAAU
This 476-nucleotide ribosomal RNA is filed under the name uncultured bacterium. RNAcentral describes it as "bacterial SSU rRNA". It matches the Rfam family "Bacterial small subunit ribosomal RNA", at positions 30 to 524 of the family's 1533-position model. The record is from RNAcentral.